This 487-nucleotide ribosomal RNA is filed under the name uncultured bacterium. RNAcentral's name for it is "bacterial SSU rRNA". It matches the Rfam family "Bacterial small subunit ribosomal RNA", at positions 28 to 507 of the family's 1533-position model. The record is from RNAcentral.
GAUGAACGCUAGCUACAGGCUUAACACAUGCAAGUCGAGGGGCAGCAUGUCGGUUGCUUGCAACCGACGAUGGCGACCGGCGCACGGGUGAGUAACGCGUAUCCAACCUACCCUUGUCCAUCGGAUAACCCGUCGAAAGGCGGCCUAACACGAUAUGCGGUUCUCAGCAGGCAUCUAACGAGAACGAAAUGUGAAGGAGAAGGAUGGGGAUGCGUCUGAUUAGCUUGUUGGCGGGGUAACGGCCCACCAAGGCGACGAUCAGUAGGGGUUCUGAGAGGAAGGUCCCCCACAUUGGAACUGAGACACGGUCCAAACUCCUACGGGAGGCAGCAGUGAGGAAUAUUGGUCAAUGGACGGGAGUCUGAACCAGCCAAGUAGCGUGCAGGACGACGGCCCUAUGGGUUGUAAACUGCUUUAUAGGGGGAUAAAGUGUGCCACGUGUGGCAUAUUGCAGGUACCCUAUGAAUAAGGACCGGCUAAUUCCGUG